RNAcentral lists this ribosomal RNA (156 nucleotides) under Salmonella enterica. Its description in RNAcentral is "partial 23S ribosomal RNA". It matches the Rfam family "Bacterial large subunit ribosomal RNA", at positions 1 to 148 of the family's 2925-position model. Lineage: Bacteria; Pseudomonadati; Pseudomonadota; Gammaproteobacteria; Enterobacterales; Enterobacteriaceae. The record is from RNAcentral. RNAcentral also lists the same sequence under 2 other names.
GGGUUGUGAGGUUAAGCGACUAAGCGUACACGGUGGAUGCCCUGGCAGUCAGAGGCGAUGAAGGGCGUGCUAAUCUGCGAUAAGCGCCGGUAAGGUGAUAUGAACCGUUAUAACCGGCGAUACCCGAAUGGGGAAACCCAGUGUGAUUCGUCACAC